This 386-nucleotide ribosomal RNA is filed under the name uncultured bacterium. RNAcentral describes it as "bacterial SSU rRNA". It matches the Rfam family "Bacterial small subunit ribosomal RNA", at positions 29 to 416 of the family's 1533-position model. The record is from RNAcentral.
AUUGAACGCUGGCGGAAUGCUUUACACAUGCAAGUCGAACGGCAGCACGGGGCAACCUGGUGGCGAGUGGCGAACGGGUGAGUAAUACAUCGGAACGUGCCCAAUCGUGGGGGGAUAACGUAGCGAAAGUUACGCUAAUACCGCAUACGAUCUACGGAUGAAAGCGGGGGAUCGCAAGACCUCGCGCGAAUGGAGCGGCCGAUGUCAGAUUAGGUAGUUGGUGGGGUAAAGGCUCACCAAGCCGACGAUCUGUAGCUGGUCUGAGAGGACGACCAGCCACACUGGGACUGAGACACGGCCCCAGACUCCUACGGGAGGCAGCAGUGGGGAAUUUUGGACAAUGGGCGCAAGCCUGAUCCAGCCAUUCCGCGUGCAGGAUGAAGGCC